RNAcentral lists this transfer RNA (97 nucleotides) under Kitasatospora phosalacinea. RNAcentral describes it as "tRNA-Gly". The record is from RNAcentral. Lineage: Bacteria; Bacillati; Actinomycetota; Actinomycetes; Kitasatosporales; Streptomycetaceae.
GCCCGCUUCCCGGUGCUUCCCAGGGCGGGGGCGGCCGACCCCCGGCCGGGCGCGCGGCGCCCGGCAGUGCCGCGCGCCGCAGCGCGGGGCGGGCGCC